AGUAACGCGUAGGUAACCUGCCUACUAGCGGGGGAUAACUAUUGGAAACGAUAGCUAAUACCGCAUAACAGCAUUUAACACAUGUUAGAUGCUUGAAAGGAGCAAUUGCUUCACUAGUAGAUGGACCUGCGUUGUAUUAGCUAGUUGGUGAGGUAACGGCUCACCAAGGCGACGAUACAUAGCCGACCUGAGAGGGUGAUCGGCCACACUGGGACUGAGACACGGCCCAGACUCCUACGGGAGGCAGCAGUAGGGAAUCUUCGGCAAUGGGGGCAACCCUGACCGAGCAACGCCGCGUGAGUGAAGAAGGUUUUCGGAUCGUAAAGCUCUGUUGUAAGAGAAGAACGUGUGUGAGAGUGGAAAGUUCACACAGUGACGGUAACUUACCAGAAAGGGACGGCUAACUACGUGCCAGCAGCCGCGGUAAUACGUAG
Molecule: ribosomal RNA, 434 nt
Filed under: Streptococcus lutetiensis
Lineage: Bacteria; Bacillati; Bacillota; Bacilli; Lactobacillales; Streptococcaceae
Description: bacterial SSU rRNA
Rfam family: Bacterial small subunit ribosomal RNA
Source: RNAcentral